This 253-nucleotide ribosomal RNA is filed under the name uncultured bacterium. Its description in RNAcentral is "partial 16S ribosomal RNA". It matches the Rfam family "Bacterial small subunit ribosomal RNA", at positions 524 to 776 of the family's 1533-position model. The record is from RNAcentral.
UACGUAGGGUGCGAGCGUUACUCGGAAUUACUGGGCGUAAAGUGUGCGCAGGCGGCCGCGCAAGUCGAGUGUGAAAGCCCCGGGCUUAACUUGGGAAUUGCGCUCGAAACUACGUGGCUGGAGUGUGGCAGAGGAAGGUGGAAUUCCACGUGUAGCGGUGAAAUGCGUAGAGAUGUGGAGGAACACCAAUGGCGAAGGCAGCCUUCUGGGCCAACACUGACGCUCAUGCACGAAAGCGUGGGGAGCAAACAGG